GUCGUGAUCAUUUUGGUUAUCAAUUUCGCAGAUGGCUGGCUGAUAUGAAUGAUAAGAUUGAUUAUUACAUUGCUGACACUCAUAAGUACUCUGUUUUUGAUAUUCUGUCACAAAGUUUUUGCUCGUGUAGUUUUCCUCAUGCAUUUAAAAAAGAAAGUAUAUAAUGUCACGAAACCAAAAACCGUUGACCCUUCCGAACAAGAUACGAUGGGUAGGAACCUAGAUAAGUUCAUCCUUCUCAUGUGGAAAAAUUGGGUUCUUCAAUAUCGCAAACCAAUUCAAACUUUAAUAGAAAUCGUAACACCGGUUUUGUUUUGUAUAAUAUUGGUGAUAAUAAGAGGUCUCUCCGACCCAGAGUUACGAAAGGACCAAAUAUAUCCACCAUUCUCACCAAUCCCAAAUAAGGAUCAAAUAGUUUCACUAUUUCGUGCUUCUGAUGACAAACUGUAUGG
Molecule: long non-coding RNA, 452 nt
Organism: Leptinotarsa decemlineata (Colorado potato beetle)
Lineage: Eukaryota; Metazoa; Arthropoda; Insecta; Coleoptera; Chrysomelidae
Source: RefSeq, a predicted model, not a curated record